UGGCCAGGCCUAAGAGCACCUGCUAGGUUUGCCGGAAGGAAGGCGACGGCCUGCUCCUCAGCUUCCGGGCUGAUGCUGGGGUGUUAGUCAAAAGAAUAUCAAAGAAUGAAGACACUGGACUGAUGAUCUCUAUCACGUGGCCAUUCUGAUGCAGGGAGAAGAGUGGCCUGAGAGUGUGGGAAGCCAUGGCUGAGAGCGUCCAUCAGUCCAGGAGGCUGGGCUCCCUCUCUGUGUCACAUCACUGCCUUUCUUCCGCUGACCCCAGGUCAAAACGCUCUAAUUUCUCGGCCUUGACUCUAGCCGUCCUGCUGGUCUCUUCCCCAGUCUCCAAUUCUUGCCCCAGAACACCUGGCCUGUUUAUAUGCAGCUCAUCC
Molecule: long non-coding RNA, 374 nt
Organism: Sciurus carolinensis (gray squirrel)
Lineage: Eukaryota; Metazoa; Chordata; Mammalia; Rodentia; Sciuridae
Exons: 3
Source: RefSeq, a predicted model, not a curated record